This 483-nucleotide ribosomal RNA is filed under the name uncultured bacterium. RNAcentral's name for it is "partial 16S ribosomal RNA". It matches the Rfam family "Bacterial small subunit ribosomal RNA", at positions 28 to 507 of the family's 1533-position model. The record is from RNAcentral.
GACGAACGCUGGCGGCGUGCUUAACACAUGCAAGUCGAACGCUGAAGCUCAGCUUUUGUUGGGUGGAUGAGUGGCGAACGGGUGAGUAACACGUGAGUAACCUGCCUCCUUCUUUGGGAUAACGCCCGGAAACGGGUGCUAAUACUGGAUAUUCACUGGUCUUCGCAUGGGGGUUGGUGGAAAGGGUUUUUCUGGUGGGGGAUGGGCUCGCGGCCUAUCAGCUUGUUGGUGGGGUGAUGGCCUACCAAGGCUUUGACGGGUAGCCGGCCUGAGAGGGUGACCGGUCACAUUGGGACUGAGAUACGGCCCAGACUCCUACGGGAGGCAGCAGUGGGGAAUAUUGCACAAUGGGCGCAAGCCUGAUGCAGCGACGUCGCGUGAGGGAUGGAGGCCUUCGGGUUGUGAACCUCUUUCGCUCAUGGUCAAGCCGCAACAAUGGUUGUGGUGAGGGUAGUGGGUAAAGAAGCGCCGGCUAACUACGUG